Molecule: long non-coding RNA, 222 nt
Organism: Enhydra lutris kenyoni (northern sea otter)
Lineage: Eukaryota; Metazoa; Chordata; Mammalia; Carnivora; Mustelidae
Exons: 3
Source: RefSeq, a predicted model, not a curated record
ACUAUGCUUUAAGAAUUGGGGCUGAUGAAAUUUUAAAACCCUUACCAGGUACCAAGCUACUGCUGUGAGGGAAAUCCCCAGUUCCAAGCCUAGUUUUGGAUACAGAGAACUCUCCACAUCUGGCUCUUAGCCUGACAGAGGCGAGUCACUAGGAUGCAGUAUUGUCAUAUGGAUCACAGGGCCCUCCAGCCCUCCCAGGUUCUAGGAAGGCAUGGAAUCAUU